Molecule: long non-coding RNA, 415 nt
Filed under: Triticum aestivum (bread wheat)
Lineage: Eukaryota; Viridiplantae; Streptophyta; Magnoliopsida; Poales; Poaceae
Description: long non-coding RNA (TAES_LNC027943)
Source: RNAcentral
GCUUCCCCUCUUGAAAUCAACAUUUUGUUUUGAUUUUUCGGUACUUAAGUAAGGUCACUCAUCAGUGAGCAGGAAGUGUCUUCUCGGUACUUGUGUGAUGAAGGCCAAAAUUGGUUUUCUAACUUAUUAUUGUAGGUGCUUUAGAAAGUGCAAGUAUGUGUCACAAUAAUGCCUGGAAAUCAGCCAGUGGCUGCAUUAUUUGAGCUAUUUUGGCGUCUCUGCCAUCCUAUAGUUGUUCAGUUUUCUCUUUUGAAACGAGGCUAUCUAGAGGAUUUCAUGUCGUGGUUUAGGAAGGUAACUAUUAUUGGUUAUAGUGAAUGAUUUUGUUGGACUAUCUGUUCAUUUGGCUAUCUUAAUGCAGUCCCAUGUGCAUACUUUUUGCAGGCAUCAAUGAAGAUUGGGAGGUAGAGAGGGA